GGCCAGGUCCUAUGCAAUGCCGGACGGGUGAACCCCGCCAGGACCGGAAGGUAGCAACGGCAACCACGCUCCGCAUGUGCCGUAGGUAACCUGGCCGCA
RNAcentral lists this signal recognition particle RNA (99 nucleotides) under Opitutaceae bacterium. RNAcentral describes it as "signal recognition particle sRNA small type". It matches the Rfam family "Bacterial small signal recognition particle RNA". From Rfam's summary of the family: The signal recognition particle (SRP) is a universally conserved ribonucleoprotein involved in the co-translational targeting of proteins to membranes. Lineage: Bacteria; Pseudomonadati; Verrucomicrobiota; Opitutia; Opitutales; Opitutaceae. The record is from RNAcentral.